Molecule: long non-coding RNA, 4602 nt
Organism: Balaenoptera acutorostrata (minke whale)
Lineage: Eukaryota; Metazoa; Chordata; Mammalia; Artiodactyla; Balaenopteridae
Exons: 3
Source: RefSeq, a predicted model, not a curated record
CAAAAUUCUUGAAUCAGAAUCUGAGUCAAGGGCCUAAGAAUUUACUUCUCAAGUUCCCAGAUGCAUUCUGCUACAAAUUGUCCUUGGUCCACCCUUGGAGACACCCUCAUCCUCAUCACCAUUAAUUAGGCUUGGGUCUCUUCAAUUAAAGCUGAGGGAGGCAUGAAGAGAAAAUGACUUUUGCAUGAGUUUCACAUUGCCCACGUCAUUCCCUUCAUGCCUCUUUUUGAUUAGUUCUUGGAGAUUCGGCCUCAGUGGAGAGCUUACAAGGGGUAUAAAGCAGCACCAUGGGCUACUAGAAAAUCCCAAGUAAUUGUGAUUUCCUGAUUUAUCCAGGCCAUGAUCCCUCUGCUGGACAAACCAGUUAUCCUGAAGGUACUAUAACCUGCAUGGGAAGAAGGAAAAGGAAGCAAGGAAAAUAAGACCAAGAGGCACAAAGGACCAGAUAUUAUUCUAUUUUAUCACGUAUUCCACAUUCCAGUGGAAGAAAACAAGAUCUGGGAACAAGCAGUCUGCAGUGUCUCCCCGCCCCCUCCCUGAGCCAUGCCUGGCCGUGCAGCAUGAAGGGGAGAGGCUGGGCUCAAUAAAUACUUACAUGAUGACAUCCUCAUCCCCUCCGCAGUCACAGCACCAGAUUUUGGAACUGAGGUCCAAAGAAGACAUGACUCUCUUAAGUUACACAACUAAAAAAAGGAAGAAAUAUCUCCCACGUGUAAGGCACUGAGUUAGCCUCUGUAUGGAAGAUAAAGUUGUUAAAUUCCUAGGCCCACCUCAGGAGCUCCUCAUCCAAUAAGGGAAACGAGGUGUUUAUAUAAGCAGCUCCAGUACAGGACAGUACGUGCUAACCAUUAAAAAUCAGACCAAUUAUAGAAAUUUGGGGGUAGAGGGGUGGCACAUGAUAAUGGUGUCCUAGGAACCUGAAAGCUGAAGCAGGUCUAGGAAAUACAUAGUAGGAUUCUGGCAGGAAAGAUGGUACAUGCCUGAGGUUGGGAAGGGGGCUGAUCACUCCGGGCAAAAGGAAUGGCCAAAGGUGAGAGGAGGUGGGAAAGCUCUGGGCCCUCACGGAACACAACAAACCAUGCUUCAUUUGGAAGCCGGUGGAGUGCUAAGUUGAAAGUUAGGGCAACUGCAUGAUUUACUGUUGAAGCAGGACUCUUUAGAGAGUGAGGAGGGAUGCAAUGAAUAUUUACACCAAACCACAGGCAGAAAGUGGGGUGGACCCAGGCCAGUGAGGAGGAAGAGUCGCUCACCAGGAGCUGGGCAGGGCCCAGAGGGUGAACGAUUUUCCAUCCCAGACAAGGGUUUGGACCUCAGGCUCCAAUUCACUGGGAAGCAGAUCAGAGCAGUCAUUUAGGGAAGAGCGGAAGUCAUUCUGUGAGAUGCUCACCACAUUGCACAGGGUACCAGGGGGAGGAAGGAGGGUUCCCGCUCUCCUGAGGCCUCUGGCUAAGCAGGGACACCCCCGCCUCCCACAUGUCCUGUUGGACCUACGACCACAUAUGCCCGGCACACUGCAUGGGACUUGAAAAGGGAGAGAAAAAAUGGGUUGAAUAAGACUUGUUUCCUUCCCUGGGGGAGCUACCAAUUUUGCUGAGAGAUAAGACUUUCAGGUAUUAAACAGGGAGCAGCACGUGAUUUGCAAACUCCAGUGUCAUCAUAUUCCAAAAGGCACAGUUGAGGCAGUGACCGCGUCUGGUGGAUAGGAGGGGAGAGGUCAGGGUGGCCUGGAUCUCAGGGAACGGAGCCAGGAGCAGGUAACCCGAGCCCAGCGGGGAGGAUUAGACUUUGGCUGGAUGGGGAGGAGGGGAGGGCAUUCCCCGCAGAUGUAUCAGAGCUGGAACAAGCAGGUCGUGUGUAAGGGACAGAGAAGAAAUGAGCUGUGUGGGGAGAGGGCCCUGAAGGACAGGUGCUGUGGGUUGGAAGCACAGAAUUCUGCUCAGGAGCGAACCGCCAGGGAAAUUCUACUUCUCCUCUUCACUCAGGUGCAGUUCUGAGCAGGUCGGGGAAGCAGGUUACAAAGUCAGUACAGCGUAUAAUGGGUAAGGGACAGGCUUAGCGGCAAGCCUGCCUGGGUUCACAUGCUGCCCGUCUACCGUGCGAUACUGGACAAGCUACUGAGUGGCUCAGGACGAUGACGGGGCCUACACCAGGGGGUGACAUGAGGAUUAUGGGCGUUAAUUCCUGUAAAGUGCUUAAAGCAGGGCCUGGCACACACGAAGCUCUAAAUCGGUAGUUCUCAGCUCUGGCUGAACCCUAGAAUCCCUUGGAGUGCUUUUAAAAAAAAUACCAGUGCCAGACGAUUUUUAGGGCAGUGAAACAAUUCUGUAUGAUACUAUAUUGGUGGAUAGAUGUCACUACGCAUUUUCCCAAACCCAUAGGUUGUACAACGCCGAGAGUGAGCCCUGAUGUAAACCCUGGACUUCGGCUGGUAACGACGUGUCGGUGGAGGCUCAUCAGUUGUAACAAACGUCCCAGUCUCAUGGGGGACGCAGACGGUGGGAGAGUCUGCGUCGGGGACAGCGGGUAGAUAUGGAAACUGUGCUUUCGGCUCCAUUUUGCUGUGAACCUAACACUGCUCGAAAAAAUAGUCUAUUUAAAAGAGGCAAAAAUAUACCAGGGCCAGGGCCCCCCCAAAAAAUAUCAAUUAAGCAGCAUCUCAGGGUGAAGGGCUUUGCCGUUGGUGUUUUUUAAGCCUCCCAGGUGACUCAGGGCUCAGAAAGCACCGAGCUAAACGAACGUUAGCUCCGGGUACCUAGCGAAGUACGUAGGGGAGCCAGGAAGUGGAUGGCAGAGGAGGGAUCUCAGCCUGGGCUUGUCCAGGGAGUGGUUUCCUGGCUUCCAUUUGGCACAAAAGUGCUGAGCUUCUGACAGCUUUUUGAGCCUCUGGGACCAAAUGCAGACCAACCAGACAUUCUGAACAAGAAAUGAGCCAACUGACUUCAGAAAGGAAAACAUUUCAUGGCCUUACUGCCAACAGGUUUAGUUAACAGACGACCGACCUCUCUUAUCAAAAGAAAACUCAAGGGUAGCCGCAAACAAUCCCCACGCACCUCACCGAUAGGCCACCAAGCCAGCCUAGGGUCCCAGAAUGUCUGCAGAAAUCUCAAGGGACAUUGUGACAAUAGAAAGACUCCUAGAUUAAACUGCAAAUCCAUCUGUGAAAGACAUGGCCUCUUGAGAACAGGACAGAGAACAAGGUACCCCUGACAUAGGCUUGGAGGACCCAGAGCUCUUUCAUAAAAGCAAGUUAGCUUAGAAUUCCGAAGGACUGAUACUGUUAAUUUAUUUAAACACCCAGCAUGCUCCAGAACAAACCUUGAUUUUCCCAUCCAAACCCGCUUCUCGUCUCAAAAAAAUAUGCAAUUCCAUUCUGCCGAUUGCUCGGGCCGCACACCCUGGAGUCGGUCCUCUACUCCCCUGAAGCAUCCGGUCCAACAGCAGCAUAUCUGGUGCUGUCAGAUGCAUCCAGAACCUGAUGGCUUCCUGCCACCUUCUCCAGGACCACCGUGGACCAAGCCCCUUCACCUCUUGUCUGAAUUACCGAGUCGCUGCCUGCAGGUCUCCCCCCACUGUGCCCUGUCUACUCUGUAGACAGAAUAUUCACACCACAGCAGCCCGCCAGCAUCCUUUUAAAACGAAGCCGGAAAAGAUCAUUUCUCUGUUUAGAAACCCUCCUGUGUGUCUGCAUCUCAUUCAAAGUAAGAGCCAACGUGCAUAGAUCAUGGCCUCCAAGACCCAACCAACCAUCUUGUCUCUGGGAUUCUUCUCCCAUGACUGUCCCCUCCCUCAACCCUCUCCAGCCACAGGGACCUUGCAUGCUCCCACCUCCGGGCUUCCUUCUGCCCUUGCUAUUCCCUCUGAUGAGAACACUCUUCCCCAGGUAAUAAUCACGCCCCUCUUCCGCUCCUGACCAUCACAUCUCUGCUCCCAGCAGCUCACUGGAGAGCACUUUCCUCCCCUGACACGCCUUCCCUCCCUGGCUUUCCUUUACUCUUUGUCACCAGACACUUUACUGGUUUUACUGGUCUGUCUAAUGUGUGACUCCCCCUCUCAUCCCUACUCCAUGAGAUUGGGGACUUCACUGUGCUGCUACUACUGUGGGUUUAAAGCCACUGCAGCAAGAGUCAACCAGCUUCCUUUCAUUUUUUUUUUUGGCCUCGCCGUGUGGCAUGUGGGAUCUUAGUUCCCCGACCAGGGAUCGAACCCGUGCCCCCUGAAGUGGAAGCGUGGAGUCCUAACCACUGGACCGCCAGGGAAUUCCCUCAACCAGCUUCCUUGAAAAAAAAAUGUAGAGAUGAAAUUUGAUCGGAGAUGUGAACAGACAGGGGAAACUGUGAUUAUAUGCCUGUCUACUGUUCCUUCAGUUGAUUUCAAACCUUCAGAAAUAGAAGUUGGAGUAGUGACAGCCAAAAAUCCUAAAUUCAGGAUUCUUACAGAAGCAGAGAUUGACAUCACCUUGUUAUACUAGCAGAGAGAGACUAAACGUUGUAGUCAGUUUACCAAAUGAUGCCACUUGCCUGUGUGUUUGGUCAGGACAGAACAACAUUAUGGAGGCCCUUGGAUUGAAAAAGAACCCCUCUCACUCCUCCUGCCUCCGAAGUG